GACGAACGCUGGCGGCGUGCUUAACACAUGCAAGUCGAACGGAAAGGCCCUGCUUUUGUGGGGUGCUCGAGUGGCGAACGGGUGAGUAACACGUGAGUAACCUGCCCUUGACUUUGGGAUAACUUCAGGAAACUGGGGCUAAUACCGGAUAGGAGCUCCUGCUGCAUGGUGGGGGUUGGAAAGUUUCGGCGGUUGGGGAUGGACUCGCGGCUUAUCAGCUUGUUGGUGGGGUAGUGGCUUACCAAGGCUUUGACGGGUAGCCGGCCUGAGAGGGUGACCGGCCACAUUGGGACUGAGAUACGUCCCAGACUCCUACAGGAGGCAGCAGUGUCGAAUAUUACACAAUGGGCGGAAGCCUGAUGCAGCAACGCCGCGUGCGGGAUGACGGCCUUCGGGUUGUAAACCGCUUUCGCCUGUGACGAAGCGUGAGUGACGGUAAUGGGUAAAGAAGCACCGGCUAACUACGUG
This 468-nucleotide ribosomal RNA is filed under the name uncultured bacterium. RNAcentral describes it as "partial 16S ribosomal RNA". It matches the Rfam family "Bacterial small subunit ribosomal RNA", at positions 28 to 507 of the family's 1533-position model. The record is from RNAcentral.